Molecule: unclassified non-coding RNA, 240 nt
Filed under: soil metagenome
Description: partial contains 5.8S ribosomal RNA, internal transcribed spacer 2, and large subunit ribosomal RNA
Source: RNAcentral
AACCUUAUGGACCUGCGGGCGUAUACCUGCGGAGGGAUCAUUAACGAGUUAGGGUCUUCUAGGCCCGAUCUCCCAACCCCAUGUUUACUGAACUCAUGUUGCUUCGGCGGGCCCGUCUCACGACCGCCGGGGGACCGUAAGACGUCCUCUGGCCCGCGCCCGCCGGUGGCCAAACCGAUAAAUUCUGAUAAAACCGUGUUAACUGUCUGAGUUCCAUUCUUAAUUAAAGCAAAAAACUUU